This 328-nucleotide ribosomal RNA is filed under the name uncultured bacterium. Its description in RNAcentral is "bacterial SSU rRNA". It matches the Rfam family "Bacterial small subunit ribosomal RNA", at positions 505 to 831 of the family's 1533-position model. The record is from RNAcentral.
GUGUCAGCCGCCGCGGUGAUACGUAGGGAGCAAGCGUUAUCCGGAUUUACUGGGUGUAAGGGCGACGCAGGCGGGCCGGCAAGUUGGAAGUGAACUCCGGGGCUUAACCCCGAACUGCUUUCAAAACUGCUGGUCUUGAGUGAUGGAGAGGCAGGCGGAAUUCCGUGUGUAGCGGUGAAAUGCGUAGAUAUAACGGAGGAACACCAGUGGCGAAGGCGGCCUGCUGGACAUUAACUGACGCUGAGGCGACGAAAGCGUGGGGAGCAAACAGGAUUAGACUACCUGGUACGUCCACGCCGUAAACGAUGGAUACUAGGUGUGGGAGGUA